GCCCUUAGAGUUUGAUCAUGGCUCAGGAUGAACGCUAGCGGCAGGCUUAAUACAUGCAAGUCGAACGGUAACAGGCCUGGCAACAGGCGCUGACGAGUGGCGCACGGGUGCGUAACACGUAUGCAACCUACCCUUUACUGGGGCAUAACCCUGAGAAAUCGGGGCUAAUACUCCAUGGUAUUAUAAAGAGGCAUCUUUUUAUAAUUAAAGAUUUAUUGGUAAAGGAUGGGCAUGCGUCCCAUUAGUUAGUUGGUAAGGUAACGGCUUACCAAGACUGUGAUGGGUAGGGGUUCUGAGAGGAUUAUCCCCCACACUGGUACUGAGACACGGACCAGACUCCUACGGGAGGCAGCAGUAAGGAAUAUUGGGCAAUGGGCGCGAGCCUGACCCAGCCAUGCCGCGUGCAGGAAGACGGCCUUAUGGGUUGUAAACUGCUUUUAUAUGGGACUAACCGCAUCUACGUGUAGGUGUCUGCAUGUACCAUAUGAAUAAGCAUCGGCUAACUCCGUGCCAGCAGCCGCGGUAAUACGGAGGAU
This 536-nucleotide ribosomal RNA is filed under the name uncultured Bacteroidota bacterium. RNAcentral's name for it is "bacterial SSU rRNA". It matches the Rfam family "Bacterial small subunit ribosomal RNA", at positions 1 to 533 of the family's 1533-position model. Lineage: Bacteria; Pseudomonadati; Bacteroidota. The record is from RNAcentral.